GCCAAAAUAGCUCAGUUGGGAGAGCGUUAGACUGAAGAUCUAAAGGUCCCUGGUUCAAUCCCGGUUUUUGGCA
Molecule: transfer RNA, 73 nt
Filed under: Dicentrarchus labrax (European seabass)
Lineage: Eukaryota; Metazoa; Chordata; Actinopteri; Moronidae
Rfam family: tRNA
About the family: Transfer RNA (tRNA) molecules are approximately 80 nucleotides in length. Their secondary structure includes four short double-helical elements and three loops (D, anti-codon, and T loops). Further hydrogen bonds mediate the characteristic L-shaped molecular structure. tRNAs have two regions of fundamental functional importance: the anti-codon, which is responsible for specific mRNA codon recognition, and the 3' end, to which the tRNAs corresponding amino acid is attached (by aminoacyl-tRNA synthetases). tRNAs cope with the degeneracy of the genetic code in two manners: having more than one tRNA (with a specific anti-codon) for a particular amino acid; and 'wobble' base-pairing, i.e. permitting non-standard base-pairing at the 3rd anti-codon position.
Source: Rfam by way of RNAcentral